RNAcentral lists this ribosomal RNA (468 nucleotides) under uncultured bacterium. RNAcentral describes it as "partial 16S ribosomal RNA". It matches the Rfam family "Bacterial small subunit ribosomal RNA", at positions 28 to 507 of the family's 1533-position model. The record is from RNAcentral.
GACGAACGCUGGCGGCGUGCUUAACACAUGCAAGUCGAGCGGAAAGGCCCUGCUUUUGUGGGGUGCUCGAGUGGCGAACGGGUGAGUAACACGUGAGUAACCUGCCCUUGACUUUGGGAUAACUUCAGGAAACUGGGGCUAAUACCGGAUAGGAGCUCCUGCUGCAUGGUGGGGGUUGGAAAGUUUCGGCGGUUGGGGAUGGACUCGCGGCUUAUUAGCUUGUUGGUGGGGUAGUGGCUUACCAAGGCUUUGACGGGUAGCCGGCCUGAGAGGGUGACCGGCCACAUUGGGACUGAGAUACGGCCCAGACUCCUACGGGAGGCAGCAGUGGGGAAUAUUGCACAAUGGGCGGAAGCCUGAUGCAGCAACGCCGCGUGCGGGAUGACGGCCUUCGGGUUGUAAACCGCUUUCGCCUGUGACGAAGCGUGAGUGACGGUAAUGGGUAAAGAAGCACCGGCUAACUACGUG